Zonotrichia leucophrys gambelii is the source of this 3833-nucleotide long non-coding RNA. RefSeq lists it as uncharacterized. The transcript has 2 exons. NCBI's taxonomy places the organism in Eukaryota, Metazoa, Chordata, Aves, Passeriformes, Passerellidae. The record is from RefSeq and is a predicted model, not a curated record.
AUAAACAUUUUAGUUUCAUUUUGUUUUGUAAUUUAUCACUUAAGCAGAUAAGAUCAUCCAGAUAUCAACAGAAUAUCAUGCCAUUAAACUGAAAUGUAAAUAAUUUAAAUUAAAAUGAAUUACAUAGGAUUAUUUAAUUCCAUUGUUGCAUUGUGUACGAUUCCUUAUUUUUAUUCUGUACUAGAGAAGCAAUCCUCAAAUGGGCUUUUAGUAUCAAGAAUGAGAAACAUUUGUGUAUAGAUUUCCACCAAGGCAAUCGGGUUUUCAGUGUGAGAAGGGUUUUAUGUUAUUUUUAAUUCUCUGCUUCUACAUAUAAGUGCGAUAAGUAAAGACAGAUUCUUGCAUUAUCUUUCUUCACUUCAGUCAUCUGUGCUGCAUGCAUUCUGCGUGGAUGAGUCAGAAAGGAAGAAUUUACUGUUAGCAAAAAGGCAGACUGUGCAUCAGAGUUUAGCAGUUCCUGCAGGAACCUGUGUAGGAAGAAACUUGAAUUUCUGCAUCUGGUUUUUCCCUGGUUUUUUUGUCAUUGCCACUUUCAUCACUCAUACCCCUCACUCCAGGCAGCUUUUCCCAACCUCCUUCUGCCUGCAUUGUAUUUGUUGUCUAACGGGUGGGCAAACGAAUCUCUAGGGCUUUGUGCUACCUCUAGGCUGCUCUUAAUUCUGUUUUUUUUCUGCUGAUAAAUCUACAAGUGAGAACUUCUGAGGUACAGGAAGUUUGAAGAAGCAAACUGAAAGGUCCCUGGCAGGGGCUUUCCACGAGUCUGGAAAGCUUUUCAAUGACCGAAAAACUUCUAGAAGUUGCAGUAGAAUUUGAAGGUGUAAUAUUUUCAUUUUCAGUUAUUGUGAAAAAUUCACUGGUACACAACUUUUAGAAAUGUCAGUUUCAGUGGAAGAUCCUUUCUGGUGUGUGACAUGGCCUGCAAAAAAAUUUCUUUCCUAAGCAAAAGAAGCUGAUAAAAUAUUAAUUUCUUUUAUUGUUAAGAACCUGGACAGAUUAACAGUCAAUAUACUGUUAAAAUUUAAUCUCUUGCAACAACGUCAUUCCACCCCCAACCUGGAAGUAGUAGGGAAAAAAAGUACCUCUGCCAGUGUGUGAGGAUAUGAAAAUGUAAUGAUUGCAAAUAUUACUAGUCUGCUAGUUAUCUGAGCUAUGCAUCUUCAUACUACAUAGAGAGAGACUCCACCGUUCAAAAAACAUUAUAUUCCUAUGCAACAUGAAGAAUCACUGACACAAUAAAAUCAAAACUUUAGGUGCAAUAUUAAAUUGUGUAUUUUCCACAGGAAUAUUAGGAGUUCAUUUUAAACUUUUUCUAUUGAAGUGUCCAUUAAACUGAUAACUUUUUACAGAAACUGCCAUCUUAGAAUUAUCCUGUUGAGUGGGUGUUGGUGUUUGUAACAAUAACGUUGUUUUCAUAAUAUGUGAUGGCAGAUUAGCACGCUUCUCUGCAGUGUUGUUAACAGUUGUAAUUAAGGAAUAAACAGUAAAGGGUGUCAGUCCGAUGACAAUUUCAUCUAUAGUGUCACAAUACAAAAUGUCACAAAAUAUUAGAACUGUUAUAUAACUACAAAAAUAUCAAAUUAGGCUUUCAUCUUACAAGCUGAGAGCUUAAAAAAAACUUGGCAUAGAGACCAUUGCAAUUUUAUACCUACUCAGUGUUCUGUCACAAAGACAACUUGGUAAUAUUUUCUUCUGUAAACUCACAAUGUGAUUCUCAGUCUGAUUUAGUGGGAAUGUGUAUGGAUCUUACAGUUGUAUAGCUCACGUUUAAAAAGCAAAUAAUUGGAACCAUUUGAGCACACAAGAAUGGAAAACCUAUUCUAGAUGAUACUCAGAAUGAAGGGAUGGAUGAGCAGUUACUAACAAUGGGACUCAUCCUGUUCUUUGCAUCCAAAGGGAAAUCACUUCAACAAAAAUCUGGGCCCCUAAAUACUUUAUACAUGGAAUAAUCCGAAUCUUUAUCUCUUCUGACUCUGCCUAACCACUGGGACACGAUGCAGGUUCUCACUCUCCUUGCCCUGGUGCUUUCCCCUGGAAGGAGAUCUGGCCGUGUGGACCUGGAGUGCAUGGCAGCUCCAUGGGUGAGAGUUUGGCAAUGUGCAUGAAAGGCACCUGCAAGCAGGGUUAGAGAGCUUACCCUGCUGCACUUAGGUGCUCACAUAGCAUGCCUGAGAGUAAAAUGAAAUUAUCUUCAAGGAAGGAAUUUAAUUUUAUUUCCUGCAGCAUAACUUUAGAAGCAAUAGGGCAACUAGUUCAAGGAAAACUAUGUAGGAACAUGUCCCAGAAAAUAACAACUGGAUGAAGAGAACCAUUUAAAGCAGGAAUAUGUGUAGGUGACUGUUCUCAGAGACAAGGACCUUCAUGUUGGCCUGUGGUUUGAAACAAAUAAAUGGAAUUGCCUAUGACUGUGAAAUAGCACAGUAAUAGGGACAGGGGCAAGUGUCUGCUGAGUUGGGCCAUGCAGUGGCAAGGAACCAUAAUUAUAUGGGAUCUCCUGUUCUACUUACAUUUGUUGAGUUUAAUUUGCCAUGGCUGGGCUAGCUUGAUACUUGCCUUUUUAUAGAUACAGAUUUGAGAAAGCAAAUAUAAAAUUUUGGUGUGCUUUAAAAAAAUUUAAGAAUCUCCCUAAGUGAUUUGUACUGAUAUACCUAUGAGAUCUUGAAUGGGUAUUCUUCACCAGAUCAAGGCAGUCACUUCAAACAUAUUGAUUCUAUGUAGUUAUACCCUAUCUUAUCCCAAGCAUUUCUAUAUAUAAAAGAAAAUAUAAAAUAUAGGAAUUACAUCAUAUAUAUCUGUUGUAAUUUCCUACUCAUUGUGAGUAAAUUUUUUCUCAAAAUAAAAACAAACUCACCACGUCCACCCAAAAGAACAAAAAAACCAAAGGCAAACAAAAAAAAAAAGCCAAAAAAAGAAAACAAAAACACACCCCCCCCACCAAAAAACUUCUUAUUCUAUAGUCUUGACUUGCUGCUUGCCCUUUUGUGUUCCAAUAUAUGUAUACAUAAGGUGCAGCGGUCCUCAGGGCCUGUUGCUUUUCUAUUAGGUGGGGAACAGCAACUGAGUAAAGAGCAGUGAGAAAAGGUCAUCUUGUUUGUAAGUUAAUAUUGUAGUAUCUUGCAAGAAGAAAUAAUUAAUCAUACUUUUCUAGUUUAAUGCACAGAUGAGUAACCCCAAUACUAAUCCAGGAGCACAGCCUGUUUACCCAUCUUGUCACCUCUACCAUCACAUUCUCAAUCUUUUUACUUUCUCAGUUAUUCUGGCUGUGGGGGCAGGAGCAGAAGGCAAGGCAUGUUACUUUUUCCUAACAUAAGAAAUUUCUUACUCUGCAGAAUCUUCCACAAGCCUAUUAAUUUAAUUUGAGAGUAUAUUGAAAUAGUAAGUUGGUUUACAUGCAUAUCUGACACUAUGGUAUCCUCUUGAUUGUAUUUAUUCAGGAUCAUGUUUUCAUAGAAGUUGGGAGCUAAUUUUUAGGCUGAGCUUAUAGUUCUUAAUUUCUGUCUUUUUCGUUCACAUAGACCAGGUUGGGGAUGUAGUUGCUCAAUUUGAGCUUGUUGGUACUGAAAAAUAAGAAAACCAAAUUUAAAAGGGAAUGUACUUUUAGAGGUUAUAUCUGAAAGAAAACAUUAUUUACUCCAUAAUGGUAAUUUUCAUAAUAUUUUAAUACUUGUGUUCAGAUACAACUUGACCUUAAAUAUCACCCCAAAUGCAAGCUGUUUUAACAUAUUUGUAAUGCUAAGGUCUUCAUUACUGUGAUAUUCUGUUUGCUCAAGGAUUAUAAUCCAUGGAUAUACUGUGUUAUAGUUGAAAUAAAGCUUUGAUCAGUGUUGCGUUCCAUG